RNAcentral lists this transfer RNA (87 nucleotides) under Azospirillum picis. Its description in RNAcentral is "tRNA-Leu". It matches the Rfam family "tRNA". Rfam says of the family: Transfer RNA (tRNA) molecules are approximately 80 nucleotides in length. Lineage: Bacteria; Pseudomonadati; Pseudomonadota; Alphaproteobacteria; Rhodospirillales; Azospirillaceae. RNAcentral also lists the same sequence under 2 other names. The record is from RNAcentral.
GCGCUCGUGGCGGAACUGGUAGACGCGCUAGGUUCAGGUCCUAGUGGCCGCAAGGCCGUGGGGGUUCGACUCCCUCCGAGCGCACCA